This 252-nucleotide ribosomal RNA is filed under the name uncultured bacterium. Its description in RNAcentral is "partial 16S ribosomal RNA". It matches the Rfam family "Bacterial small subunit ribosomal RNA", at positions 524 to 776 of the family's 1533-position model. The record is from RNAcentral.
UACGUAGGCAGCGAGCGUUGUUCGGAAUUACUGGGCGUAAAGAGUGUGUAGGCGGUGCUCUAAGUUCGGUGUGAAAUCUCCCGCUUAACUGGGAGGGUGCGCCGGAAACUGGAGUGCUCGAACGUGGGAGAGGAAAGCGGAAUUCCCGGUGUAGCAGUGAAAUGCGUAGAGAUGUGGAGGAACACCGAUGGCGAAGGCAGCCCCCUGGGUCAAGAUUGACGCUCAUGCACGAAAGCGUGGGGAGCAAACAGG